GACGUAGGGCGCGAGCGUUGUCCGGAUUUAUUGGGCGUAAAGAGCUCGUAGGCGGUCUGUCGCGUCGGGAGUGAAAACUUACAGCUUAACUGUGAGCGUGCUUCCGAUACGGGCAGACUUGAGGUAUUCAGGGGAGAACGGAAUUCCUGGUGUAGCGGUGAAAUGCGCAGAUAUCAGGAGGAACACCGGUGGCGAAGGCGGCGAUCUGGGAAGAUACUGACGCUGAGGUGCGAAAGCGUGGGGAGCAAACAGG
Molecule: ribosomal RNA, 253 nt
Filed under: uncultured bacterium
Lineage: Bacteria
Description: partial 16S ribosomal RNA
Rfam family: Bacterial small subunit ribosomal RNA
Source: RNAcentral